RNAcentral lists this ribosomal RNA (222 nucleotides) under uncultured Burkholderiales bacterium. RNAcentral's name for it is "partial 16S ribosomal RNA". It matches the Rfam family "Bacterial small subunit ribosomal RNA", at positions 109 to 334 of the family's 1533-position model. The record is from RNAcentral. Lineage: Bacteria; Pseudomonadati; Pseudomonadota; Betaproteobacteria; Burkholderiales.
AGUAAUAUAUCGGAACAUACCCAGUAUGGGGGAGUAACUAUCCGAAAGGAUAGCUAAUACCGCAUACGAUCUGUGGAUGAAAGCAGGGGAUCUUCGGACCUUGUGCUAUUGGAAUGGCCGAUAUCUGAUUAGCUAGUUGGUAGGGUAAAAGCCUACCAAGGCGACGAUCAGUAGCUGGUCUGAGAGGACGACCAGCCACACUGGAACUGAGACACGGUCCAG